RNAcentral lists this ribosomal RNA (478 nucleotides) under uncultured bacterium. Its description in RNAcentral is "partial 16S ribosomal RNA". It matches the Rfam family "Bacterial small subunit ribosomal RNA", at positions 28 to 523 of the family's 1533-position model. The record is from RNAcentral.
GACGAACGCUGGCGGCGUGCUUAACACAUGCAAGUCGAACGGUAAGGCCCUUCGGGGUACACGAGUGGCGAACGGGUGAGUAACACGUGGGUGAUCUGCCCUGCACUUCGGGAUAAGCCUGGGAAACUGGGUCUAAUACCGGAUAGGACCACUGCCUUCAGGGGCGGUGGUGGAAAGCUUUUGCGGUGUGGGAUGGGCCCGCGGCCUAUCAGCUUGUUGGGGGGGUGAUGGCCUACCAAGGCGACGACGGGUAGCCGGCCUGAGAGGGUGACCGGCCACACUGGGACUGAGAUACGGCCCAGACUCCUACGGGAGGCAGCAGUGGGGAAUAUUGCACAAUGGGCGCAAGCCUGAUGCAGCGACGCCGCGUGAGGGAUGACGGCCUUCGGGUUGUAAACCUCUUUCAGUAGGGACGAAGCGCAAGUGACGGUAGGUGCAGAAGAAGGACCGGCCAACUACGUGCCAGCAGCCGCCGUAA